CUUCAUUACACAACAACAGUUGCCAUGGCCACUGAAGUGGAGGCAGCAAGCAGCGCUGCUGCAGUGCUGGCAGGAGCUGCUGUGGCUCCCCGGGCACACAGACUCCUGGUGCAUGGGAAGGUGGCUGCAUGAGCAUGCAGGUGAAUUAAUGCACUGCUGCAUGAGUGCAUGGGGGUGGGAGUGCAUGGAUGCAAGGGCAGACAUCCCACUGAGGGCCAGCAGCUGGGAGCAAGCCAUGCCUCACAGAAAAGGUCUGCUGUGAAUGGGCUGAAAUAUUUUGCAUGGGCUCAGUAUGGGCAUCUGCAGCUUCAUGCCUGCUUUAGAAAUAGGGAUGAGUGCUGGAAAGGGAGGGGGUGGAGCUGCAAGGAUGCUCAACACACUGCCAGCUUUCUGUGCAUGUGCAAGCCAUGAAAGUGAUAAAACAAAAAUAGGCACUCAGUAGUUCAAGAAGUGGGCUACUCUGAAGAGGCAGCCCACCCCUCCUGUUGGCCUGCUCUCCUGCUGUGCACAGGGCUUGUGAAGGAAUGGGAGAGAUCAUCUGAAACUGUUGGGGCCUAUGGUUCUGUUGGUGCACUGCAGGAAAUGCAGCCAAAGAGGAAAGCAGUGCCCAGCAGUUGCUGCUCAGGCAGCUGUAAGGAGCAAGUGAAGUCGUGUACAGUGCACACUGGAGCUGGCAGUACUCAAAAGAGGGAUUCUGGCAUGCACCACCAGAUCAAGGUGUUUGCUUUUAUUAACUCACCUCCAUGCAGAUUUAUUGAAGACACCCACAAAGAAUCUGCUGAUGUGAGUUACUUACAGCAACAAAAAGCUCUUGCUGUGAAAAUUGCCAACCACUGUUUCUUCUUCAUCCCUGCUCUGCUGGAGAUACUGGGGCAGGAACAGUGGCAGCAGACCUGCACUGGCCACCCAAGCUCACCCAAGUUUGGUGUGCACUUCUAGCCUUGAAGAAGUGAGGAUUUAAAUCCACCAUGCAGGGGACUGCCAGUGGAGGGGAGGCUACACUGCCUGUCUUGCUGCUGCUCCUGUUGUAGCUGAGAUGCAAGAAAAAGGACUGGUAACUUAAAUCAGUGCAGUGAGACCAGCUAGAGUUAAUUUUGCAGAGCUCUUUGUUACUCAUGGCACAUUACUUUUGUUUAUAUUCUGUUCUAUAAAACUAAAUAGUUCCUCUCAGUUGUUUUACAGUCUCUAAAGAGCUCUAGCUCAUUUCUCAUCCCAUUUUACAUUUGUUUGCUUGUUUCUCAAGCCAAUUCUUCCAGUGUCUCCUAAAUCAUGUCUACUGUUGUCUGAAUCCCUUCCAGUUUCUUGCCAUCUGCUCAGUGCCAAAAUGAACAAAAUAUUCAUGGUUCACAGCAAUAUUCACAGUGACACAGAAACAGGAGCCUUGUGCAUCGGAAUUUCUGGGCCUCUCCAGCCAAAUAGCAUAAAGAUUAGUGCCUUUGUGGCUAUAGUGACUGUACCUUUUUAAGCUUUUAACUUACAAGUACAUAGGAUUUCCUUGGAUCAGAUUUUAAAUCCUCCCCUUCCCCUCCCCCUUCCCCUCCCCUUCCUUCCCACCCAUUCUUUUUCUGGAAUCCAGGAGUUGCACUUGUUUUGCGUUAAGAACCCACAAAGGCAAAGCUUUAAACCUUAGCUCAUUGCCUGUUAUGCCACUCCUGAUCUCCGCAGCAUGAUCCCUUCCUCAGGCAGUGGUAUUGUGCUCUUCAGUCUCUUAAGUGUAACACUUUUUCAUGGCUUCAGCCAUACAGUGCCCUGAAAUCUAUUUCUGACCUCUGUGGUUCAAAAUUCCUUGUGGAACUUUGAGUUGUUCUGGAGUCACAUGGGGUCCUGGUUUGUUACAUUUCAUAUUUAUUUUGUUGUCAGAGUCCCAAGAGAAGAUGUGCCCCUUACAAAACCCUGAGCAAGUCACUUUUUUGACGUGUUGUCAAUCACAUUUUACUCUUCUCAGAUGUCCUUAACAUAAUGUUCACAAAAAUCAACCUAGCUGUUCUUGGCCAUUCAUCAUUGAUUCCUGGAAACUUUUUCCUUUAAUCCAAGAGUGAGAAUUCUCCCCAGCCUUUCCAUGUCCCAUUGUGUUGUGAGAAAUCUGCUCCAGAGCAAGACAGCCUGUUGGCAGGCUCCUGAUCACCACAGCACCUUUCCUGGGAGGAGGAAACACAAACCUUCAGACAUCACUGCUCUGACUUCAGUCAGCCAGGUCAUAUUCUGUAGAUGAAGCUCCUCAGCCACACCAACCCUCACAAUGUGGUGUCAGCUUUUGGCACACUUUGUGGCAGGGAAAGGCUGACCUAUCAGACACAGCAGCUUGGAGCAGUCCCUUCAAGACACACUGAGCAAAAGCUCCAGAUUUUGCUUUUCUGGUAGUUUUGAGUUUCAUAGCUGUUGCAACACCAGGCAGAAUUCUCUAUAAAUGCUACUGUUUGCUGUGUCUAAUUUAUUUCACAGCAAAUAAAAGUGCACAUGAUAGUUAUCCAUUCCCUCAGAGAGUAAUAUAAAUUCUUGAGCCUUUCCCUCACUUAGCCAAGACUUUUCCCCUCUGUUGCUUUAAGUGUGACAUUUUUCUCUGAGGUAGGUGACUUUACAGCUCUGUUGGCUAACCUUGGUAAAAACCUUUUCCCAGAAGUUUGAUGAUGAUUCACUGGCAUUAUCCAGAGCACAGAUUCUCCUGUUUAAGCAACUCACACAAUUUCUGUCAGCAGCAUGUCUGAACACCAAAAAUUGCCAAGUGAUGACAAGCCUGAGAAGGGCUGGUGUUGGCAGAGCAGUUUUUUCCUGUCAUGUUGAGGUUACAGAUACUUUAGUGUGUCUGUUCUGGAUGCAUAGCUGUAGAUCCCCUCAGGAAGCACUUUUUCUCCCCUGUAAGAUCAUAUCAGAAAGAAGUAUUGAUCAGAAUAACAGUGAAGAGAUUAAAGCUGUGUUGCAGAAUGGGGUGUUGAAAGAAGCCUCAAGUGAACAUCUGCUAUUGUAUUCAGGUCCUGCAGUCUUCUGCUCUUGUUUCCUCCUGUCUUGAGCUUGGCAAGUGAAAGCGAGGUUCAGUGCAAACAUUAGACACUUUGUUCCACAUAUAGCUUCACAUGUAGGUGGCGAAAGGGCCAAGGCUGAAUUUGUUCUCUUCUAGUCUCUAUAAACAACCUGAACAUCUUGCAGCUGUCAGAACACAGACCAUCACAUCUCAUAAACCAUCUGCAAACCUUUAUGUGAUAUGGAAGAUAGAAAGAACAGGCGGUGUCUGUAAGUUGUUCUCAUUAAAACAUCUAAUUCAAGUCAGUCUGAUGCAAAGUUCAGUUUUUCCAAAGUGUGUACUGGUUUUCACGUAUGCCAGUGGGUCAUGGGGUAGUCUCACACUCACAUGGCAAAACAAGUACCCUCUGAUAACCUUCCCAUGGGAACAUGCAUUGCAAGAAUGAUCUUAACACUCUCAGCCUGCUAGGGAGUGACAAGUAAGACAACCUUGGGCUGUGGGACAGUAACUUGAUUUCUGCAGAAGUUUGAGCAGCACAGCCUGAAAACAGAAAUAAAAAUGCUUUGGUGGAGACGGGGGAGGAAAUGCCCCCACCUCAGGGCAGCCAUACCUGAUUCUUCCUUACUCCUCAUCUGAGGACUCCUGGAGAGGAGUUGUUGCUGCUGGGGCUGUCUCUGCUCAUCAGUGUCACAUUAAUUUCUGUAUAUUCUGGUCCAGGUCGUGGCACACCUACUUUGCAUCUAAAUCCACUUUGUCAAAGAGCUUGCAGUAGUGCAGAUCACAGUGUUUCUUCGUCCCUCUACCCUUUUGUUAGAGAGAAAUUUCAAUUCCAGAAUAUAGGUGAAACAAAUCCACAGCAGCGGUUUCACUGGCACCCUUCAAAGUAUCUGCAGAAACUAGCUAGAAGAAGUUGCUCAGUUCAGGUUCUACUGAACAAAGCUCUUGCCUCCAUGACUGUCACAGCCAGACUCAGACACACAUCAGGGGAUGGGAAGCUUGGGCUGGCACCAAGAAACCUAUUUUUAAACUGUCCCUGCUGCAUAACAUAAUAUGAGAUUAAAUUGCAUGAUGCUUACUCCCUAAUUGCUUAACGUGAUGCCCCAGGAGGCCACAGGGGUGGGUCUGGGGUGUUCUGCUACCCCUGCUCUACCCACUGCCUCCCGAGGGCUGCGGGAGCUCCAUCGCCUCUGAGCUUUCGGGCAUGGUGACAACAGUCAGACUUUCAGGCUCUGCCCAAGAGCAGGUUUUUCACUUUCUAAGGCAUGCAGUGACUUUUCAGCAAGGUUUUCUGCAUGGCUUGUACUUUCUAAGAAAGGAGCUGAAGCGAAGCCCAAGAGUCAAGAAGCAGCUCUGUCACUUGCCCCAGGGACAGCAGCGCUAUGUACAUGCUCAGAAAGAAUCCCUGCAGAUCA
This 4371-nucleotide long non-coding RNA is filed under the name Taeniopygia guttata (zebra finch). RNAcentral describes it as "lncRNA (ENSTGUG00000025503.1)". Lineage: Eukaryota; Metazoa; Chordata; Aves; Passeriformes; Estrildidae. The record is from RNAcentral.